AUAAUUUUUCAACCGUCCAAGCCUUUACUCUGUCCUGCUUCCAAGUACCUAGACAAUCUCUGUGAGUCUUGCAUGAUUAUUUCUCAAAUCCUUGCCUAUCACUUGUGCCCAAAGGUGCUAUGUUUCAGGUUAGCAUCAAUACCCUUCCCUCAUCCUCUUCCUCUUUAAAGCAGCUUUGUCUUUGCCGAGAAUCUACUCACCUACUUCAGCUUCUGCAUUAAAUUCCACUGAUCCCUGCUUGAGACAGCAAUGCCCAAGAUUGAUCUUAAAGGGUAAUGGUAAGCAUGAUCAAAAGAUAACUGAAAAAACAGGCCCUGCCCCAAAGUAUUGUCUUUUUUUAGAUGUACAAUGUGGCAAAACUCCUAUUCAGAAAUGUAACACAUAAAACCUGUUAGAGCUAAAUUUACAUAGACACUUGGUAAAGAGACUGGGUAUAUGUAUGUUGUGUAAUAGUUACUACAUCUUCUUAAGAUAUAAAUUGUUAUCCCCAAUUAGUAGUUAAUGGAACAAAAGUUCAAAAACUUAACAUAAAUAAGAUACAGUACUGGCCGUAUCAUAUUUUAGUCUGUCUGGAUCUACUAUACAUAAGGCACUCUCCCUGUCAGAAUAGUGUCUAGAAGAACCUAGGGCAUCCUCAAGUUCAUUGUUUAGCUUACAUGUAAGCAAUGUUUGGCAUUGCUUAAGCACCUUUUCACUUCUAAAUAGUGUGUUCAUUCCGGCUUGGCCAAGGGUAGGGCAGAUGCAAGUGCUUUGUAGGCUGCUAGAUGGAGUGCAGGGGUAAAGCUGUGGCAUGAGCCACCUCUAACCCUUUGCCCUGCCAGGUAACAGGAAAUUAAAUCACUGUGACUUACUCAAGGCCAGAGGUUCAUUGACUAGGCCAAGGCACCUUUCCUUACUGUUUUUUAGCUUAAAGAUACCAUGAACACCACAAUGCCCUAUAGCCAGAACUCAAGAAUGUUUUCAGGUGAUGGAUAUGAGGUUUGUCCUUGGUGAGUGAGAUGUAUGUUGUGUCCAUCGGCUUUUGUCCACAUGUUUAAAACUCAUUUUCUAGUAUGACCUAAUCGUCAAUGUUUUCUGAUUUCACAUCUCUAGAAUUUAGGUAACCAACCCUGAGCUAAAUACUUCCUUGACUGUGAAGCUGCUUAGUAACACAGGACAAUCACUUUUUGUCAAGGUCUUUAGUUAAACAAUAUUGUUUUUCAUAUUAGGUACAGGAAAUAGUUACAGGACAUAGAAAGAAAAUAGAUCUUGGAGAGGAGUAUAUUUUCAAGCUAUUAUAGCCUAAUUUCUGUUCUCUGCAAAUUUAUGUCAAUCUGUGUGCAAAAUGAAUUCACUCCCACCCUGGCAUCUUCCAAAUCUCAACCUACCUCAACAUCAGUCAACAACUAUCUAGGUCUCACCUAAAGUCCCAUUGGUCCUUCUCUAAAGGGUCUGAGAUGAUUUAGAUUCAUCUCAACCACCAACACCCCAUGUGUUCAGGAUGCUGAGUAGGAUCACUCUUGGGGCAAGAGUCUUCUUUUGUCAAUUUUCAUGGCAUAAAGUCCUUAUUCAUGUACAUCUAGAUACCUCUGUACCUUCAAGGGAUUCAAAAUCCCCAAAAGCCUAUUUGGCUUUUCAAAAAACAACAAAACAAAACAAAAAACCAAAAAACAAAAAACAAAAAACAAACAAACACCAACAUUCAAGUUUGUUUCUUUAUUAAUUCGACUACAAGAAGAUGAAAGUUAAGCAUCUCCUGUAGAGAGUCAGCCUGAAAGGCUCAGCAUGUUGGUGGCUGUAAGGAAAGCUGUUCACAACCUAUGACUCAGUCACAGCAGCUUCAAUAUCUGACACUUCUACACACCAAUCCUGAAGAGUUUUCAAGUCCCUGUGCUUUUAGUUCAUUGUCUGCCUGGGGAGAGAUAAAGUAUUUUCAAUACACUGUUUGUUUUUCAGGGUCAAAGUUGCAUCAAAGUCCAUCAUAAGACAAGGACAUUGAGCAACAAUAUGACAGUGGAAUAUACAAGCUUAAAUGAAAAUAUUCAUUGUUUACUUGUGACAUUUCCAACAACUGGGAAGCACAGAGAUAAACAUAAGCCUUUCGUACGACACACAACUGCAUUUUCUUACUCGGACAGAAUCUUAUGUUACAACUGACUCAUCUGCUUAGUGACUGCUGAGUUUUUUAGAGAUUGUUUGGGAGAUGGUUCCUAAUUUCAGAGUCCUUAAAAAAAUGGAGCUAGCAAAGUAGCCCAGCAAGUAAAGUCCAUGCCUCCAAACCUAAGACCCCGAGUUUCAUUCCAGGAAUGCAUAUGGUGGAAGAGAAUUGACUCCCCAAGGUGGUUAUCCUCUGACCUUCCAGCAUGUACCAUGGCAUGCACAUGAGCACACACACACACACACACACACACAGAGAGAGAGAGAGAGAGAGAGAGAGAGAGAGAGAGAGAGAGAGAGAGAGACUCACAAAUAAACAAAUGCAUUUUAUUUAAUUUUUAAAAAACACAAAUCACUUGCAUAUUUGGCUUACGAGGUUAUAUAACAUCCAUGUAAGUGCUCCUUCUUUUCUAAUGUCAUUUUGAUAUCUGCACACCAUUUCCUUGUGUUGUGUAUCACUACUGCCUCUCUGUUUGACUUAGUUACUUUUCUGCUUUUACUUAGUAAUUGCUGUGAGAAAACCCCAUAGCCAAGACACCUUCUAGCCUUAUAGCUUUAUAGCUUUCUGGGGCUUAUUUGAGCAUAUGGUUCCAGAGGGGUAAGAGUCCAUUAUCAUCAUGGCAAGGAAGUGUGGCAGCAGGCAGACAUGAGUGGGUGCAUAGAGCAGCAAGCUGGAAGCUCACAUUUAAAAAUCCCAAGGAGGAAACAGAGAUAGCAAAAUGAGAAUGAUAUAUUGCUUUGAAACAUCAAGGCCUGCCCCUCCUAGCUGUGCAAGAUCAGGUGAAGAUGCACAAGAAAGUAUCAAGGAAGGGGAGAAGGGAGCAAGAAAUGGAGCUCUCAUGCCAUCCCCUGGACUGUGUUCCUCCAUAUAGAGGGAGUUGACAGUCUAGAAGUAUAUACAGGGUUACACCUCAGCAAAAUGUGGGGUAGGACCUACUGCUGAGAAAAGCUUGUCUAUCCUAUGCAUGUCUUCCUACUCCUGGUAUUUAAGAUUCCUAUUUAAAUCUUUAAUAGUUGAAAUCGUGCUUUAUUCUUUAACAAAUUGCCCUGUCAAAUUUUGUCAUUUGACACAUGAGGUGACAGCUCAUGGCUAUAAUCUCAGCACAGGGGAGGUCGAGGCAAAUGGGAAGCUGAGGCAAGUUUGAGGCUAGCCUAGACUACAGACAGAAAUUCUAUCUCAAAAAAGUGAAGAAAAAAAAAAGCAAGUCUUUUGUAAGUCACUUUUCUUCAUCACUACACCCUCCCAGCCUUUCUCCUCUAUUUACCGUUAGGAUCUCUUCUCAGCUUCCUUUCCGUGCAUGUGGACACAGAAGUAAAUAAUGUGCAGAGGUGGCAUGUCCCAAACCCCAGGACACAAGGACAAAAAUAGCUGAAGGACAUUUUGUUGACCCACAAAGCUCUAAAUGUGGCACUCUGUAAACAUUCGUCCUCCAAUGACACUCAUUUGUGCUUCACAGAUAGAAUCUGCAGUGUGUGUGUGUGUGUGUGUGAGAGAGAGAGAGAGAGAGAGAGAGAGAGAGAGAGAGACCCAUGCCCCCUUGCUGACCUGAGGUGCCCAGAAGGGUGCUCUAUAGGCAUUGUCCCCAAAGGAACAAAGCAGCCAUCAUCUCUUUAUACAAGUUCAAAAUAGAAGUGCCCUUUGCAGUACUGUUUGAUGUUGUAAAGCUCCUGCCUGUUGUCUAACUGACUGUAACCACUGGCUCGCUCCUCAAAAUAUGGCUCUCUAGGUUUCUCUGAGUCCUUUGCUCACACACAGCCUGCUACAUUUUUUUCUAAGGUUGGAUCACAUUUAAUUUUCGUGUUUGUUUUAAACUAAAUUUAGUACCGUGUGUCUCAAUUCUUAAUGGUGUCUGUAACAACUCCCAAAUUAGAAGUCUCAUCAAACUUCGCCAGCAAUGUGUUGUUCCUUUGCUUUUUUUCAAAUCAUCUCACAGUGUUAACAUAAUAACUAAUAUUUGCACAGUGCCUUGCAGUUUACAAAAUACUUUCCAACUUAUCAUCUCCCAAAAGGAGAGACUAUUAGGAACUCUGUUCCAGUGCAGAUAAAGCCUUAAAGACCUUAACUGGCUUCUGACGAGGAGGCAUGUCAAUAGUCCAAGAGUUGCCUGGCACCUACUAAGGCCCUGGGUUCAAUUCUCAGUAUAACUUUCUUCCACAAAAACAUGUUAGGGAGUUUGUGUUUGUCAAAGGCUGUGCUGAUACAGAUUUUAAAUGAAAGCUGGUCACAUAUCUCCAGACACCUCAAAGUUCAUAACACAGUAUCUCCUUCUGUUUUGUCCCUCCUGUUUAUUGAUGAUAAACAUAAUGGUUGUAGUUUAACAAGUCAUAAAACAAAGCUUAGUAGUUUAAAAAAAUGUUUUGGAAAGCCAAACAUAUGCUUUGGCCAACAUGAAAUCAAGAUACAAAAUUAGAGCCAUGAACUUUUACAGAUACUAAUAACUAACAAUUCUUAUUUAUAAUGUACCACAUAGUCCAUAAAAAGUACUUUCCAAUCAUUCUGCUAUAGUUAGUAAUACGAACGUAGUAUGUAUACACAUCAUCUUUAUUUUCUAAGUGAGAAACUUAGUUGGAAGAAGCUAUGCAACUCACUUGAGUUCCAAGCGGUGGAAUGGGGGCUUGAACCCAGUACACAUGAAUCCAGUGAACCUACCCUUAGCUACUUAGUUGUUGAGAUAAGAAGGCUGGCUCUAUCAUCAAAUUUCAAUUAGAACUUCAGCUUUUUAUUAUGGAUGGCAUGGAUGGGAAAUAUUUUUACUCUCUGUAAUUUAGUUUUCUUUUUUUGUAAAAUGAUAAAGCAUCUUCCAAACAGCAGUGCUCAGUGAGUAAUUAAUAGAUUUCUGUGAGCAUUCUACUGAUAUUGGCUCAUAGUGUGUAGUUUUGUCUACACUGCUUUACGUUCCCAGUGAGCCUCAUGCACACACCUGCCCAGGAUGCAUGCGUGCAUCAUCAAAGCAUCAGAACCAGUUCCCUACACUGACGGCCCUUUAUCUCUUUAUUUCUGGGAUAUGUACUGAGUACCUGCUAUGUGUAUCAUACUCUGUUUCUCUACUCACUUGGUUUAUAGAAGCCCCCCCCCCACUGCCCCAGGCAUCCAAGGCUGUCCAGCCACACUUCCUUCUUCCCUGUACUAAAACAACUAUAUCCAUAUAUGAAGGCAGACCUGCUCUUUCUAUCUUAGUCUUGUUGCUGUUUCAAAUGAAGUUGUGCAGCAUCAUUUGUUUGGAGCAUAAAUACUCUACGUUGUCCUGGUAUCUUUUCAUCCAAAAUGUCCAAAAUUGUGUAUGUUGUAGGAGUCCUCCAGCAUGUUAUUAUUACAUCAGUUUUCACUACAGUCACCUCCCACCUACAUGACAUUAUUUUAAAUUAGAGCCUUCCCAUAAAGGACAACUCUUUUUCUGAUCCAUCUUCUUUCCUGCUGAUAGACUGGUCCAUGAUCCAGUCCCUUUAGCGCUGGGUAACGGUGCUUGAUAGUUCUCUACAUAUACUGGGAUUUGUGUUCAGUUACCUUGUCUUCCUCAAGGAUUCAUUGUCCUUCUCCAAUACUUUAACUUUCUCUUUCCUCAGUUCUUAAAUUUAAUCAGGAAAACUUUCACUCCACUAUUGAUCUACAGUGGUUUGGUAAAACACUUCUGUGAGACCUCUUAGAAAAGGCAGCAUUUUAUGUACAAUAUUGUCACUUAAAUUGCAUUUCUCAGUGAAUAUGGCCAUAAACCAAAACUCUUAGCUCAAUGUCCAGCCCAACACCAUCACAGUAAAACAAAUUUGAAAUUUCUUUAAUUGGAGCAGAUGUGUUAUGAUCUGAGUAUUUCUGUAAACUCAAGCCAUACAACCAAUGUAGCCAAAAUUAGAAUACAUUGACAGGCAUAAAAUUAUAAAUUGGACCCAUGGAUGAGCUUUAUUGGUAUUGUAAAAUAUUUUGUUCAGUCUUGCCAUCAUUUUUUUUUCAUUUUGAGGCACCACAUUAUCAAUACAGUAAGAGCUGUGAGUGGCACUGACAAAUUAGGAGUUGAAUCUAUUUGGUUUCAUGGUCCUCGCUCCAAAUAAUCACAGCCUUAAACUUUUAGCAGAUGACUGGAAUUAAGUCCUGGUGAGCUUUUUCGAUACUGAUUGAGUCACUAUAUACUAUGUAGACCAUUGGCAAAGAUUUAACUUCACCUGGAAAUAAGUUAGUGGAUGAAAAGUGUGCAUCUGAGAGUGAUGUGUUUAUAACAUUGGUACAAUAACUGCUUCCCUAGCUUAGUCCUAAGAGGCUCUACAUAGAACCAAAGCCUUGGUUAGUUUGGUGGUAAACUUAUUACCAAAUAAGGGAACAAUGCAAUACAUUAGUUUCAUUGCAUUACUCUGUGUAAGGAGAACACAAGUUUUCAUGGGAGGAGCAGCGCAUAUGUGUGGUACUGGUCCUUUGUUGGCAUGUAAGGAAAAAAUCUUUCAUACAUCAGUGUUGAUAAUCAUUGUAUUAUAGUGUUUAUCACUGUCCUUAAAUAAUUGAGAGAAACAAGUUAAGAGAGGAAGGAUCAUGAUUUUAGAGAUUUUCGUGCAGGGUCAACUGACUGCUGUUUCUGGGUCAUGGUGACACAGAGCUUCACAUAGAAUGUAGCACAUAUCAGAGCAAAUAUGUUCAUCUCUAACUGCCAGGAAAAAAGGCAGGAAGGGUAAGAAGGGUUCAAGUAAGAUAUACCAUUCAAAUUUCUCCCCCUCUCUCCCUUUCUCUUUCUCUUUUUCCCUCUCCCUCUCUUUCUCUUUCCCCCUUACCCUCACCUCUCUCUCAAACAUGCACACACACACACACACACACACACACACACACACACACACACAAAUCCACAGAGAGAAAGAGUUAUUCCCACUACGUGUCUUCCACACUUUCUACUCUCCCCAAUAGUUUACCCCAAGUUUGACUCCAUCCACGGAUUACACCAUUGAUUAAGUACUGUUCUCCUAAUCUGAUAAUCUCUAAAAUAGGCUCACAGACACACACUUAGAGGUGUGCUCCAUUAAUCUCCUAGGCAUUUCUCGCUCCCAUCCAAUUUAUCAUGAAGAUUAAAUAUCAAAAUAAUGAAACGGAAAGGAAAAGAACAGGCAACAUUCUUUUUGAGGUUUAUAAAAUUAUACUGCAACAGUGAACACCUUUCGACUGUGUGUCUGUCAGGCUGGUGCAAAGCCCUUUAAUUGUGACCGUUUUAUUCCUCACAUUUUGUGUGAUAGACACUGUUUGUAUUUGAAUUUCACACUUGAGGAAAGUGAGGUAAAGAAUUUUUUUCACAGCUAGUCUGAAAAGAAUAGUCAGCAUCUAUUGUCGGAGGAUUCACCUGUGACCCUAAGAAGACAGCUGAGGAGAGCUGACGAAGCUAGUAUGAGGGUGACCUCCAUUUUUGUGAUGGUGAGGGACCUCGAAAGGUGGACCACUUGUGUUUUCAUGUUCACUUACACAGAUGGAACUGAUAUAGUUCUCUUGCAGGCUGCCUAGUCCCAGUUUGCUCUUAAAGUCACCUCUUCUUCGUUCCUUAUUCAAGUGGUUUCUGACUAUUUUAAAGCAACAAAAUGAAUGCAGUUUGAUUGCUCACCAGGCAUAUCAGACGCAUCAUCCUCAUUUCACACACUAGCACUAGCUGGGGGGUGGGGGCACAGGUGGGGUUCAGAGGAGUCAAAUGGACAAAGCUGCUGGUUCCCUUCCUAGGGGAACUCUAACCUUUGGAUUUACUUGCCAUGAAACUUGCUCCCCAAAGACCUCCAUAUUUGGAUCAGGUUUCCACAAAUGUGUUGGUAGAGAUGUGUUGUGUGUAAUUUUACACUCUACCGACCUUUACUCUCCAGGAGGUGACCUCGCUACCUGCCCCCUCCCAGCUUCCCUUAAAUCCUUCGAUAAAAAACACAGACACACAGUUUUUCAAUUUUAACUUGCCUUCUUGACACAAUUGCUGGCACUGUCUCCCUCCUGGAAAAGCAUGCCCUCAUCAGUUUCUUAUCUCCAUCUCUCCCACCUGACUUAAAUUUCAGUUGCUGAACUCCCCUGCCCACCUGCCUAUAGGAGUGGUCUAUGUGGCCACUCCAUUUUGAGAUUUCACAUGGUUGUCUCCUCUCUCUAACACAUGGCAAACUCCAUUCUCUCCUUCCUUGCAUCUCUUUUUCCUCCAGGGACCUGGAAGUCCUGCCUAUACUUUCUGCCCAUCAAUUGGCCCAUGGCUUUCUUUACUGACAGAUCAAGAACCAAUUGAGAAACAGGACCUUAAUAUCAGAACUGCCCCCUUCAGAGAUGUUUCAUAGUCAUUUCUCCGGUGAUUUAAAAAUCUUCUGUGCUGAAGACAUGAUAUGUAAUGUAAUACAUGACAGCCCAGAGCAUACUGGCGUCAUUGAACUGAAUUCAGUUGAAUGUCAAAGGCAUCCUGCCAUGCUUCGAUUUUGACUAAUAUUACUUAGCUUCUAAUUUCAGUAAAGUGAGAAUUGGGCAGUUUAAACUGAAGAACAAAGAAUGAAUCCCAGAGAAGACCCAAGGCUGUUCAGGAUCAUGACACCCUCUCCCACCACACUCCUCCUCUACGAAGGCAGGCAGCCACCCUCCCCCAUUACAAAGGCUGGCAAUUGAACAAAAGUGUUUCCUGAUAUCCCAGAGUCAUGUUUCUGUUUCUGUGAAUUGUCAGUUGCUAUAGAGAGUCAGAAAAUCUAGUCCAGGCAAUGUUCUAGAAGAUACUCCCUAGUCAGAUUUGUAGAAUAAAUUAAUCAGGAAGCAAACAUACGUUGGUCCAGAGACUAUGGAUCCUAACGGUGAUGUACAAUUUCUUAAAAAACAGUGGUGGUCUUUGAUCUCAUUUCCUUGCAGUUUAUAAGUUUGUUCCUUGUGGCUGCUACUGUAACUUGAAGUUAAAGUAAUUUCUUUCCAGUUCCAGCCCAUUAUUGCUCUAAGGCAAGAACAAUUUUUCAGUUGCUGUGAACAUGCCCUGCAUGCCUAGGAACAUUUCCUCAGACAGCAAAAUAUGAAUGAGGAAGAGCUCUACACACCAUGUGACUCUUUGGCUGAGAAAUCACGAUCAUAAUCCAUUUUACCGGAGGCACACAAAGACGUAAAGAACAUCUCUGUAGCUAUGGGGUCAUGUUUUUUAAAGUUCUCAGAUGUGGAUCAGAAGGAACAGAGAAUAGACUCUGAGCAGUUCUCUUUUAAAGUAACUUUGUAACAAUCUAGCAAUCCAUUUCUCCAAGAUCAUUCCUGGAUUUUAUAUCUGCUAAAUCAAAUAGAGGAUUUAAGGUGGAAGAUAAAGGGCUUGCUCAAAGUCAGCUGACUUUCUAAAAGUCAUAUCUUCUCUGGGUCUUUCAUUCCUAUAAUUUUUCGCAUGUGUAUGCCCAUAUACAUUUAUAAUAUAUGUGUGUGUGAGAGUGUAUUGUGUAUGUGUGUAUGUGUGUAUGCUAUCCAUCUUUGUUUGCUUUUCACUUUUCUUCAAACACAUCAUUCAUGACUGCCAUUUUUCUGCCUCUUCUCAUUUUUAACACAUUCAGUAUUUUUAUUUCCCUUUCUGCUUUGCUUGGGCUGCCAGCAUCUCACUCCAUUCAAGUAACUGGAUUUGUGCAUGGUUUUAUAUUUUUAAACAAUCACUCUAACAAUAUCCCAACUGUCUCUGGAGGAGGGAAUUCAAUCUUAAAUAUAAAUCAACCUUAGCCAAGUGAAAGCGUCUUCAAGUAAGGCAUUCAAUCCCCUUUCUGAUUUCCAAACACCAUGCUGAGAAAUAGCUGAGACCAGCUACAGAGAAUAUGGCAAGGGGAAAAAAUGACAGUAUGAAAAGCCCCUGGUUAUAUCAAAUUUUGCUUUUUUUAUUACUUUGGGCUUGCCAAUAAAUCUGAGAGUCAUGCCUUUUUAAUAUGUUUCCUGGGUCUCUGCUAACUCCAACAUUUGCGAGAUGAAAUUCCAGUAGACUCUUUAGAGUUCUCUUGCUUCUACAGCAGCUGAACAUCUCAGUGGGUCAGCCACAGAGCAAGAACAAUGAAAGUAGCAAACUCCAAUAUGUUUCUUUCCUUCAUUCCUAGCUGCCAUAGGGACUAGAUGACGUUUGGUGUGCAGCAUAUAUUUGAGAAACAUUUCCAAAAGGGACAAAGCAUGUUGUGCAAAAGUAGGCAAACAAACAUUUUAUGUAUAGUUUUGUACAUAUAUACACAUAUAUAGAGAGAGAUUGAUACACAUACACAGAGAAAUAUAUAAGUAUAUACAUAUAUAUCAGUAAGAAGUAUAAAUGUAUUUAAAGAUAUGAAACUAAAAACUGUUUGACGUUCAAUUAAAAUCCCAGUCUGUCCAAAGUGUCUUAGACAUUUUUGCCUUAUUUAUGCUUAGAAAUAUUUGUUUUGAAGGAUAUGAAAAGAGAGGUAGUGGAGUGAGCCAAUGUGUAGGUGUGUAAGGACACUUACUCCACAACUAUAGGAAUCUGAGUUCUGAUCACAGCAAUCACAUUAAAGUAUGAGUAUAGCUGAACUUUCUUUUUACUUGCACACUUCAAAGGCUGAGACAAAAGUAUUACUGCUGUUUGCUGGCCACUAUCCUACCUUCAGUUUAACUGUAAAGCCUUGUCUCAAGAAAAGAAGGUAGAGAGUUAUAGAGCAAGACACUCCAUGUCUUCUUCUGGCCUCCAUAUGUGUGCAUGUACAAACACAGGUACAGGUACACAUGUUCACACACACACACACACACACACACACACACACACACAUAUAUAUAUAUAUAUAUAUAUAUAUAUAUAUAUAUAUAUAUAUAUAUAUAUACAAAGAGAGAAAAAUGAUGGGUAGGGUGUUUAAAUGAUUUGCAAAUGGUCCCCUAGUAAGUGCACACAAAGACCAAGAAGAAUAGGAGAAAAGACGAUAGAGAACUACAAGGUGUUAUUCCAAAGCCAUACUCAGAAGUUUGUAUUAUUCCCUGUAAUUGAUUGAUUAGACACCAAAGCAUGGCAGCGUCAAAAUGUGUCUCAAGCAAAAAGCUACUGUAUAAAAGCUCAAGAAUUUGAACUAAUUCCAACUGGUUUCAUAUCCUGCUACAUUUUUUCAUUAUGUAAAUACAUCUCUUGAAGCAUUCACAAGGGAAACUCAAAACCAAAAAGUGGUAGCCCUUCAACAAAAAAACUUCAUUAAAAAAUUAAGAAAUAAUAAGAAAAAUCCUUUAUAUAUACCAGAAUUUCUAGUCCUUCAAGGCACGAACAACAUGCCAAUAUGAUCUAAGGCAUGUGACUUUGUGAAAGGCAUCUUAAGAUGCUCUUCAACAUCUUGCUAUCACUGCAGCAUACACAGGACUCCCUCGAAUGAAUUAGGGGCACAAGAUAGCAGUGGUGAGGAAAAGAAGAGUGUGUCCUAAGCAUUGCAAGGCCAGCAAUGUAAUAAGCUCCAUCAUUCAGGCAGAAUUAAACUGCUGUUGAGCUGGAUUCAUAAAUUCAAAAGAUUGCAGGAACUCAGUGAGAGUAAACUCCAGAGGUUAGGACUCUAUAGAAUUCAACCAGUGAACUCAUUGUUAUAAAUUCCUUGUCCCAAAGCAGUUAAUGAUGGAUAUUUUUUCCUUUGUUGAAAGUGCUUCCAUAGAACAGAGAUUAAAAAUACCAAAGUUAUUUUCUUCUUUAACUCUUUUGAUGUAGCUGUCCUCACAAAGUCAGUUUUUAUAAGGCAAAAGAAAGUAUGAGGUCAAAGGUUCUUAGCUUCACUGAAAAUGUACUUUGUGCAUUUGGCUGGCUUCCUUACCUGAAAAAUGGGCUGGGACUUCUUUAAUUUCUGUGAAACAGAUGAUGAAAUUGUGGCAAAAUGGCAUGUUAUAAUUUCCUGAGUCAUAUCAGGAACACACACACACAUACGCACACCACCACCACCACCACCACCACCACCAACAACAACAAAAUUCCACAUUAAACACAGAUGUUUGACUGCAGAGGCUAGAGCUCUGAAAUAUUGAAUGAGUUAAUAGUUGGUCAAAUGAGUAUAUUCAGUGGAAGUGUAUUAGAAGAGAAACACACUGUUUCAACUCUACAUCUUACAGUUUUACAAAGAUACAGAUAAAUUAGAAUAUUCUUAGCAAAAGGCAACUCAAAUGUCAGAGGACUCACAACUACUUCAGUUAAAGAAGGACCUUGAUGACUAGCAACACUCAACCUGGAGAAGAAAAUUCUUACUACCUGGAUGCCUUAAGAUGUUUAAAGAGCUAUACUGGAGGAAAUGAGGCAGAGAAUGGAGGGCCCUGCAAGAGAUUGUCUACAAGGUUCUUUGACAGGCUCUUUUUAUGAUAUAUCCCUCAGGACUCCUAAGAAGUGGAGCCAUUGGGCAUGACUUGUGAGAUGAGCAGGAGAUUGAAUUUUCUCUUAGUGCAAUCUGAUGGUAGCUGUUGUAACUUAGAUUUAACUCAUCCACGGGGAUCCUGGUUUAGAUAAGAAAGAAAGAAAGAAAGAAAGAAAGAAAGAAAGAAAGAAAGAAAGAAAGAAAGAAAGAAAGAAAGGAAGGAAGGAAGGAAGGAAGGAAGGAAGAAAACACUGAGCAGUUGUUGGAAGGAAAUUUGAAUAUGGAAGUGUGCACAUGGAACUAAAUGCCUUUCCCAGACCCAAGAGUCAAUACAUAAAUGCUUCAUGAGUACACCGCAAAAUAAUGUGCUAAGAUUUCUCAGGCAAUGAAAACCCAUGUUUCCUCUUCUCCUCCUGGGAAACUGUAUAAGUAGUAUCAAUGAGAAUAGCCCCAGAGGCUCAUGUGGUCGAGUUCUCUGUUCGUGUAACUCUUUCAGAAGGAUUAGGUCCUUUCUGGUGGUUCUCAAUCUCACCAAUGCUGGGACUCUUUAACACAGUUCCUCAUACUAUGCUGACCCCCAACCAAAUUAUUUUCACUCCUACUUCAUAACUGUAAUUUUGCUACUGUUAUGAACUGUAAUGUAGAUUUCUUUGUUUUCCAAUGGUCUUAUGUGACCCCUGUGAAAGGGCCAUCCCAAAAGACUCAUAAUUCACAGGUUGAGAAACACCAGAUUUAGGAAAUGUGGCCUUGUUGGAAGAGGUGUGUUACUGGAGAUGGGCUUUGAGGGUCUGAAAAGCCUCUCUCUCUCUCUCUCUCUCUCUCUCUCUCUCUCUCUCUCUCUCUCUCUCUCUCUCUCCCUCCCUCCCUCUCUCUCUCUCUCUCUCUCCCUCUCUCCCUUCCUUCCUCCCUCCCUCCCUCCUUCUCUGUGUAUGUCCUUCUGUCUGUCUGUCUGUCUGUCUGUCUAUGCAGGUGUCUGUCUCCUGCCUAUGGAUGCAGAUGUAAAGCUCCCAAGUAUUGCUCCAGUACCAUGCCUGCCUGCCUGCCUCCUACUAGACUCCCUAUCAUAAUGAUCAUGACCUCCAACCCUCUGAAACUGUGAACUCCAGUGAAUGUUUUAUUAUACAAGUUUUAUAACUUGGUGUCUUAUAGUAAUAGGAAAGUAACUAAGACAACCUCCUAAGGGAAAUAAAGGUGAUGAGAGAUGACUGUGUAAGGCCAACUACAUCAGCCUUUCAGCUCUGCAAUGGGGUUCUAAAAUGGUAGACACAGGCAGGACUGUUGGGAAAUAAAUGCAAGAAUUCAAGAGACAGCACAUAACAAAAUGUCUUGAAUGAAAAAAAUUUGUUGAAGUUAUAAGAAGUAUAACAAGUGGGAAAUGCAAACAGUUCUAAUUACUAGAGAAUCUUUCUUGGCUAAAUGUCAUUGUGCAGCUAUCUAUGGAGUGGGUCGAUGAGUAUAGAACUUGAAUCAAUUAGUUGAAAUAUCAAAAUCAUUUUUAAAAUGAAGUGAAGUCAGUCUUAAUGGCAAAUACGAUGAGAAGGUGUAACCAGUUGAGAAAAGUCACAGGAGGCAGAAUUGGUUGCAACUUCAACUUUUAUUGAAAUGAUCUUCCCUGCAGUGAACAGCAGACAUAGUUUUAAGAGGUCACCACAGCCACAUUUUUCUUUUCAUUGUUCCUCUUUUUGUCUCAGAUACCACCAGACUAACAUCAUCUGUAUGGGGCACAUACACAUGGAUGAACAAACAAUAGUUGUUGAGUGUUCUACCCAGAUCACAGUUAACCUCCAUCUGAGAUAACUAGUAACUCCUAAGGUUUCUUGGCUUUUCAAAAGAACUUCACAUUUUUAUUGGAUGGGUUGUAUGAUUUUCAUUGUGAAACUGGCUGUUUUCUAUAUUUGAAAGCAAGAAACAACUGAAUUUGAAAUUCCAUAUAUCCUGGAAAUCCCCUGUUUGCUGACACACAGUAUCUUUCUGAGUUCCCCCCGGAUAUGGAUUGAAAUGUACAACUAUAAAGACAGCAGAAUAAACAGCCAUUCCCUUAUGAACAGACUUGAAGUGUUCUGUCUCCCAACUCUAUUCUCUAGUACUUUUCAAUUACACAGAGAUUAACUUCAGUCCAAAUUCUAACCCCCACACCAUUCUUGCUCAAGAUGAGAUAUAUCCUUUCAACUUCCUAUGCCAAUAACAACACAGUGUGCAUGGAAAAGGAUAAACUACACAUGUUUCUAGUCCAUGCUAUGAAAUAAGGAGAUGUUUCUAAUAGAAUUGUUGAUAUUAACUUUCUCCAAGUAACAGUCAUUUCUAAAUCCCAACUCCUGAAAGGCUUCCAAAAUUUCAGGAUUAAUACCUAUCAUCAAAGAUACCAAACAUAGCUACAAAAUGUAGUCACUUACUUUGCUCAAAAGAUAGCAUGGGAAAAGGUAAAUGAAGACCAAAAUCAACAUUUGUCUGCUGUUCCAAGGUCAAAGACAUUUAUGGAAGCUGCUAUGUGAAGAACUAUACUUUGUCACUUAAUCCUGCAUUGAAAAAAAGUAUAAGACAUUACUUGUAUUCUCAUCAACUACAUAUUUUCUAUGUAUUUAUAAUUUAACUUACACCUUUGUAAAGGUUACACAAAUUUAUCUCCUCAUAGGGAUUUUCUCUAAUACAGACCUGUUUUCACAUCUUAGCCUCUAUCUCAACAGACUUCCAGCUUCCCAUAAUUCUGAAAAUUAGUCCAUAGUAGAUAGAUAAGUACAGAUACUUUUCAAGUUUCAAUUGGGUUCCACCCAAUAACUCCAGCAAUAGUUAAACUCAUCAUGGCAUAAAACUGAUAGGUGUUCAAGACACAUAACCCUGCACCCUCGCACCUUACAAUGGAGUGAACAUGUAGAAUCAUUGUCUGCCAUCUUGACCAUGUGUCUAACUGAAAGGUGCAGCUCUCUUAUCAUAUAUUUCUAUCCCAGGAAAGUCCCAUAAUUUAAAAAUAUGUUUUUUUAAAAUGGAUGUAAAUUGUGAGCCAUUAUACAAAUGAGGAAUUCUAAGUUGAACCCUCAUCUGUUGGACAGUAUUUGUUGAACACAGGAAUUAAUGAAUGGUGAGGCAACUUAUUUUACUAACAACCACUUUGCUCUAAAGCAGUUUACAGUUUGAACCUACAAAGCAGAACAUUGUAUCCCACUCAAAUUGGGACAAUUAGAAAACAUUUAUUGGUUUCCAAAAGAGCCCACUUUUGCAAUACUGAGCCUAGAUAGUACCUAUAGCUUUUUGAAUCUGAGGCAGAAAGUGAAGCAUACGUUAAGUCCAGAUUUUCAAAGUUUGUUGGCCCAUUGCUCUUAAGAAAUGUUAGUACAUACCUCCUGUGGUCACCAAUUAAGCCAAUAUCUUUAUGUGAUGCUUCAACAGAGUGUUGGUUUUGACCUGAAUCCAAAAGAAUACUGAAAAGGAAACCAACUAUUUAAACUUUUAUUUUAUUCAAUCAAACAUGACAAGUAAACUGUUAGUAUUAAAAGAUGAUAAAGAACAGCUUUGUCAUGUUUUUGUACUGUGUAAAGGUUUUGCAGGAAUGGCCCCACAAAUAGGUUUUUUUUUUUUCAAAAGUCAAGAAUAUAAAUAUCUUUCUUAAAAUCGUCCUUUCAAUAUUAGUAAAGGAACAAAUAAGACCCAUCUUUAAUAGUCAAUAAAAUCUCAUUACUAUAAUUUAGCAAAUAAUAUAAUUUCUACAAAAAGAUCAUAGACAAUGAAACAUAUUUUAGUCUCAUGCUAUCAUCACAGUCUGGCUUCCAAGUGGAGACCUCACCCCUGUUACACAGCUACUCACACCUCAUUCUCUUGGCAUGCACAGUCAUGGCAUCUUGACUUCUAUUACCACCUCAGCUGAUGAAGUUGAUAAUUCCUUCAAGUUCUGGGAGGACCUCCCUCCUACCCUGUUCCAGAUUCCUAUGAUUCAGUGGGUAAGCAAGUGUCCCAGCCAAGACAAUGAGAAUAGAUCACAAGAUUUGGGAAGAGGCAUCUCUGCAUUUUGGGGGUGGAAUGCAUCUGGGACUGUGCUUGCUUGUCUCUCACUGUCAUAGACAAGGUCCUCUAUGUCCCUUAAUUGUUAGUAGUCAGAUUGAUUACAUGGGUGAGAUGAUGCUACAGAGGUGGUGCACAGGUGCAGAAAUAAAAAAAAAA
Molecule: long non-coding RNA, 16515 nt
Organism: Mus musculus (house mouse)
Lineage: Eukaryota; Metazoa; Chordata; Mammalia; Rodentia; Muridae
Product: predicted gene, 54157
Exons: 2
Source: RefSeq, a predicted model, not a curated record